Molecule: non-coding RNA, 839 nt
Organism: Oryza sativa Japonica Group (Japanese rice)
Lineage: Eukaryota; Viridiplantae; Streptophyta; Magnoliopsida; Poales; Poaceae
Source: RefSeq, a predicted model, not a curated record
UGUGCAUGCUUUCAAGCUUCUCCUCGGGCUUCACAUCGUCAAGCGGUCAAGCGCAUAAUGAGGAUACUGCUGGAUUUGGGUCUGGUCAGACCGGGUUGUGUAUGCCGGUCAGACCGACGGUGAUCGAGCGGUCAAACCGGCCAGCUCGCGGUAUGACCGGCUGACGCUGUGUCGGUUUCGGUUUCAGGUGACUCGAGAUGCCGGGAGAGUAUUUGUGGUGAUGGACCGGGAGUCCGACUUGGGGAUAAGACGACGUCCGUGGUGGUUAGAGAUCAUGUGGGAUACUAAGGCUAGAGUUCAAUGCACGUGGAUGGUGAAGUUUCCUUAUGGUAUACGAUGGAGGAAUUGUGUGCGUAUGGGAUGUGGAGUCGAAUUUGGAAGGAGUCUAAAUUUGGUAGAAUUGGUUAUGUAAAGUUUGUUUCUUGUACGAGAAGGUUUCCUACGGGGAUCAGGACUUCUAUUAAGGCGGCGGUCAGACCGGCGGGCACACGGCGGUCAGACCGGCGGCGGUGACAGACGAUAGCAGGCAAUCUUGGCGGUUCGACCGGAGUUUAAUCUCGGUCAGACCGAUAUUCAUCAGGCGGUCAAACCGGCGCAGCUACUUCGGUCAGACCGCGAUCCGUCGAAUUUAAGGGUAACUUUUAUUUCCGCUAAAAGUUUUGGUUUUUGGAUAUACUAACCAUUCACCCCCCCCUCUGGUUGGCUUAGUUCUUGUGAUUCGAUCCUACAAUAUGUACUAUCUAUGUUCUUGCUAAAGGAAAUAGCUAGAAAACCAUGUACCGAAUAUGUUUUUGCUUUAAGAAAAUAGAAAACUAUUAAAUACUCACUUGUUGUGGAAA